Molecule: long non-coding RNA, 124 nt
Organism: Dendronephthya gigantea
Lineage: Eukaryota; Metazoa; Cnidaria; Anthozoa; Malacalcyonacea; Nephtheidae
Exons: 2
Source: RefSeq, a predicted model, not a curated record
UUCUGAUAAAGUUCCAGAUAUUGCUCCGAAACUGGUUGAGGAUAUUGAGAAAGAUAUUAAGAAAAGACUUCCAAAGAAGUUGGUUGAUGUAAUCUUCGUCAUGGGUUCUGCUGAUCCAAAUGGU